This 253-nucleotide ribosomal RNA is filed under the name uncultured bacterium. RNAcentral describes it as "partial 16S ribosomal RNA". It matches the Rfam family "Bacterial small subunit ribosomal RNA", at positions 524 to 776 of the family's 1533-position model. The record is from RNAcentral.
UACGAAGGGGGCUAGCGUUGCUCGGAAUCACUGGGCGUAAAGGGUGCGUAGGCGGGUCUUUAAGUCAGGGGUGAAAUCCUGGAGCUCAACUCCAGAACUGCCUUUGAUACUGAGGAUCUUGAGUUCGGGAGAGGUGAGUGGAACUGCGAGUGUAGAGGUGAAAUUCGUAGAUAUUAGGAAGAACACCAGUGGCGAAGGCGGCUCACUGGUCCGGCACUGACGCUGAGGUGCGAAAGCGUGGGGAGCAAACAGG